Molecule: ribosomal RNA, 454 nt
Filed under: uncultured Bacteroidales bacterium
Lineage: Bacteria; Pseudomonadati; Bacteroidota; Bacteroidia; Bacteroidales
Description: bacterial SSU rRNA
Rfam family: Bacterial small subunit ribosomal RNA
Source: RNAcentral
GGGCCCGCACAAGCGGAGGAACAUGUGGUUUAAUUCGAUGAUACGCGAGGAACCUUACCCGGGUUUGAACGCAUUCGGACAGGGGCGGAAACGUCCCCUUCAGCAAUGACCGUUUGCGAGGUGCUGCAUGGUUGUCGUCAGCUCGUGCCGUGAGGUGUCGGCUUAAGUGCCAUAACGAGCGCAACCCCUAUUGCCAGUUGCCAUCGAGUAAAGUCGGGGACUUUGGCAAGACUGCCGGCGUAAGCUGCGAGGAAGGCGGGGAUGACGUCAAAUCAGCACGGCCCUUACAUCCGGGGCGACACACGUGUUACAAUGGCAGGGACAAAGGGCAGCCACCCGGCGACGGGGCGCUAAUCCCAAAACCCUGUCUCAGUUCCGGAUCGGAGUCUGCAACUCGACUCCGUGAAGCCGGAUUCGCUAGUAAUCGCGCAUCAGCCAUGGCGCGGUGAAUACG